RNAcentral lists this ribosomal RNA (440 nucleotides) under uncultured bacterium. Its description in RNAcentral is "bacterial SSU rRNA". It matches the Rfam family "Bacterial small subunit ribosomal RNA", at positions 338 to 770 of the family's 1533-position model. The record is from RNAcentral.
CCUACGGGAGGCAGCAGUAGGGAAUCUUCGGCAAUGGACGGAAGUCUGACCGAGCAACGCCGCGUGAGUGAAGAAGGUUUUCGGAUCGUAAAGCUCUGUUGUAAGAGAAGAACGAGUGUGAGAGUGGAAAGUUCACACUGUGACGGUAUCUUACCAGAAAGGGACGGCUAACUACGUGCCAGCAGCCGCGGUAAUACGUAGGUCCCGAGCGUUGUCCGGAUUUAUUGGGCGUAAAGCGAGCGCAGGCGGUUAGAUAAGUCUGAAGUUAAAGGCUGUGGCUUAACCAUAGUACGCUUUGGAAACUGUUUAACUUGAGUGCAAGAGGGGAGAGUGGAAUUCCAUGUGUAGCGGUGAAAUGCGUAGAUAUAUGGAGGAACACCGGUGGCGAAAGCGGCUCUCUGGCUUGUAACUGACGCUGAGGCUCGAAAGCGUGGGGAGCA